This 429-nucleotide ribosomal RNA is filed under the name Chloroflexota bacterium. RNAcentral describes it as "Chloroflexi bacterium partial 16S ribosomal RNA". It matches the Rfam family "Bacterial small subunit ribosomal RNA", at positions 355 to 776 of the family's 1533-position model. Lineage: Bacteria; Bacillati; Chloroflexota. The record is from RNAcentral.
UGGGGAAUAUUGCACAAUGGGCGCAAGCCUGAUGCAGCCAUGCCGCGUGUGUGAAGAAGGCCUUCGGGUUGUAAAGCACUUUCAGCGGGGAGGAAGGCGAUAAGGUUAAUAACCUUGUCGAUUGACGUUACCCGCAGAAGAAGCACCGGCUAACUCCGUGCCAGCAGCCGCGGUAAUACGGAGGGUGCAAGCGUUAAUCGGAAUUACUGGGCGUAAAGCGCACGCAGGCGGUCUGUCAAGUCAGAUGUGAAAUCCCCGGGCUUAACCCGGGAAUUGCAUCUGAUACUGGUCAGCUAGAGUCUUGUAGAGGGGGGUAGAAUUCCAUGUGUAGCGGUGAAAUGCGUAGAGAUGUGGAGGAAUACCGGUGGCGAAGGCGGCCCCCUGGACAAAGACUGACGCUCAGGUGCGAAAGCGUGGGGAGCAAACAGG